Molecule: ribosomal RNA, 457 nt
Filed under: uncultured bacterium
Lineage: Bacteria
Description: SSU rRNA
Rfam family: Bacterial small subunit ribosomal RNA
Source: RNAcentral
AGAAUCAACGCUGGCGGCGUGCCUAACACAUGCAAGUCGAACGAGAAAGGGUAGCAAUACCUGAGUAAAGUGGCGCACGGGUGAGUAACACGUGACUAACCUACCCUGGAGUGGGGGAUAACUGAGGGAAACCUUAGCUAAUACCGCAUAAUACCUACGGGUCAAAGGAGCAAUUCGCUUCAGGAGGGGUCGCGGCCGAUUAGUUAGUUGGCGGGGUAAUGGCCCACCAAGACGAUGAUCGGUAUCCGGCCUGAGAGGGCGCACGGACACACUGGAACUGAAACACGGUCCAGACUCCUACGGGAGGCAGCAGUGGGGAAUUUGCGCAAUGGGGGAAACCCUGACGCAGCAACGCCGCGUGGAGGAUGAAGUCCUUCGGGACGUAAACUCCUUUCGAUCGGGACGAUUAUGACGGUACCGGAAGAAGAAGCCCGGCUAACUUCGCGCCAGCAGCCGC